This 77-nucleotide transfer RNA is filed under the name Bacillota bacterium. RNAcentral describes it as "Firmicutes bacterium tRNA-Ile". It matches the Rfam family "tRNA". Rfam says of the family: Transfer RNA (tRNA) molecules are approximately 80 nucleotides in length. Lineage: Bacteria; Bacillati; Bacillota. The record is from RNAcentral. RNAcentral also lists the same sequence under 2 other names.
GGGCUUAUAGCUCAGCAGGUUAGAGCGCACCCCUGAUAAGGGUGAGGUCGGUGGUUCGAAUCCACCUAAGCCCACCA